This 89-nucleotide transfer RNA is filed under the name Corallococcus coralloides. RNAcentral's name for it is "tRNA-Trp". Lineage: Bacteria; Pseudomonadati; Myxococcota; Myxococcia; Myxococcales; Myxococcaceae. The record is from RNAcentral.
GGCGUGGGCAGCGCGGGGGGCGCCUCCGCCUCCAGCGCGGGCAGGCGCACGGUGAAGGUGCUGCCGCGGCCCCGGCCCGCGCUGUGCGC